This 600-nucleotide ribosomal RNA is filed under the name uncultured archaeon. RNAcentral describes it as "bacterial SSU rRNA". It matches the Rfam family "Archaeal small subunit ribosomal RNA", at positions 53 to 659 of the family's 1478-position model. The record is from RNAcentral.
GCGAGUCGAGAGGGUUCGGCCCUCGGCAGACUGCUCAGUAACACGUGGAGAACUUGCCCUACGCUGGAGAAUACCCUCGGGAAACUGAGAAUAAUGCUCCAUAGCGCCUCCGUCCUGGAACGGUGGAGGCGUGAAAGCUCCGGCGGCGUAGGAUAGCUCUGCGGCCUAUCAGGUUGUAGCGAGGGUAACGUCCUCGCUAGCCUUCGACGGGUAUGGGUGUUGGGAGACAUCGCCCAGAGAUGGAUUCUGAGACACGAAUCCAGGCCCUACGGGGCGCAGCAGGCGCGAAAACUGCACAAUGUGGGAAACCACGAUGCGGGAAACCCAAGUGCCAGCACUAUGUGUUGGCUGUCCUCCAGUGUUCGUAACUGGGGAAGAAAGUGCUGGGUAAGACGGGUGCCAGCCGCCGCGGUAAUACCCGCAGCACUAGUGGUGGUCAUUAUUAUUGGGCCUAAAGCGUCCGUAGCUGGCCUGUUAGAUGCCUGGGUAAAUCGAUGCGCUCAACGUAUCGAAUUCCGGGUAGACCGGCAGGCUCGGGACCGGGAGAGGCGUGAGCUACUCGAGGGGUAGGGGUAAAAUCCUGUAAUCCUUCGGGGAGGA